GGAUCGAUGAUGACCCCCACUAAUGCAUUCCUUGGAAAUCUGAACCAAAUGAGUGAGAAAGCCACUACCGUCUCCUCAUUGGAACUGAGGUCC
Molecule: small nucleolar RNA, 93 nt
Filed under: Phocoena sinus (vaquita)
Lineage: Eukaryota; Metazoa; Chordata; Mammalia; Artiodactyla; Phocoenidae
Description: Small nucleolar RNA SNORD116 (ENSPSNG00000008249.1)
Rfam family: Small nucleolar RNA SNORD116
About the family: HBII-85 is a member of the C/D class of snoRNAs, which contain the C (UGAUGA) and D (CUGA) box motifs.
Source: Rfam by way of RNAcentral